This 459-nucleotide ribosomal RNA is filed under the name uncultured bacterium. Its description in RNAcentral is "partial 16S ribosomal RNA". It matches the Rfam family "Bacterial small subunit ribosomal RNA", at positions 338 to 795 of the family's 1533-position model. The record is from RNAcentral.
CCUACGGGUGGCAGCAGUGAGGAAUAUUGGUCAAUGGACGAGAGCCUGAACCAGCCAAGUAGCGUGAAGGAAGACUGCCCUAUGGGUUGUAAACCUCUUUUGUCGGGGAGUAAAAGGUUCCACGUGUGGCAUUUUGUGUGUACCAGAUGAAUAAGGAUCGGCUAACUCCGUGCCAGCAGCCGCGGUAAUACGGAGGAUCCGAGCGUUAUCCGGAUUUAUUGGGUUUAAAGGGGGCGUAGGAGGUAGAUUAAGUCAGUGGGAAAAUUUUGCGGGUCAACCUAAAAUUGCCGUUGAAACUGGCAGUCUUGAGUACACUAGAGGUAGGCGGAAUGCGUGGUGUAGCGGUGAAAUGCUUAGAUAUCACGAAGAACUCCGAUUGCGAAGGCAGUACACUGGCGUGCAACUGACGCUGAGGCACGAAAGUGUGGGUAUCAAACAGGAUUAGAUACCCGUGUAGUC